RNAcentral lists this ribosomal RNA (1395 nucleotides) under uncultured bacterium. RNAcentral's name for it is "16S ribosomal RNA". It matches the Rfam family "Bacterial small subunit ribosomal RNA". The record is from RNAcentral.
AGAGUUUGAUCCUGGCUCAGGAUGAACGCUAGCUACAGGCUUAACACAUGCAAGUCGAGGGGCAGCAUGAACUUAGCUUGCUAAGUUUGAUGGCGACCGGCGCACGGGUGAGUAACACGUAUCCAACCUGCCGAUGACUCGGGGAUAGCCUUUCGAAAGAAAGAUUAAUACCCGAUGGCAUAGUUCUUCCGCAUGGUAGAACUAUUAAAGAAUUUCGGUCAUCGAUGGGGAUGCGUUCCAUUAGGUUGUUGGCGGGGUAACGGCCCACCAAGCCUUCGAUGGAUAGGGGUUCUGAGAGGAAGGUCCCCCACAUUGGAACUGAGACACGGUCCAAACUCCUACGGGAGGCAGCAGUGAGGAAUAUUGGUCAAUGGACGAGAGUCUGAACCAGCCAAGUAGCGUGAAGGAUGACUGCCCUAUGGGUUGUAAACUUCUUUUAUACGGGAAUAAAGUGAGGCACGUGUGCCUUUUUGUAUGUACCGUAUGAAUAAGGAUCGGCUAACUCCGUGCCAGCAGCCGCGGUAAUACGGAGGAUCCGAGCGUUAUCCGGAUUUAUUGGGUUUAAAGGGAGCGUAGGCGGACGCUUAAGUCAGUUGUGAAAGUUUGCGGCUCAACCGUAAAAUUGCAGUUGAUACUGGGUGUCUUGAGUACAGUAGAGGCAGGCGGAAUUCGUGGUGUAGCGGUGAAAUGCUUAGAUAUCACGAAGAACUCCGAUUGCGAAGGCAGCCUGCUGGACUGUAACUGACGCUGAUGCUCGAAAGUGUGGGUAUCAAACAGGAUUAGAUACCCUGGUAGUCCACACAGUAAACGAUGAAUACUCGCUGUUUGCGAUAUACAGUAAGCGGCCAAGCGAAAGCGUUAAGUAUUCCACCUGGGGAGUACGCCGGCAACGGUGAAACUCAGAGGAAUUGACGGGGGCCCGCACAAGCGGAGGAACAUGUGGUUUAAUUCGAUGAUACGCGAGGAACCUUACCCGGGCUUAAAUUGCAACAGAAUAUAUUGGAAACAGUAUAGCCGUAAGGCUGUUGUGAAGGUGCUGCAUGGUUGUCGUCAGCUCGUGCCGUGAGGUGUCGGCUUAAGUGCCAUAACGAGCGCAACCCUUAUCUUUAGUUACUAACAGGUUAUGCUGAGGACUCUAGAGAGACUGCCGUCGUAAGAUGUGAGGAAGGUGGGGAUGACGUCAAAUCAGCACGGCCCUUACGUCCGGGGCUACACACGUGUUACAAUGGGGGGUACAGAAGGCAGCUACACGGCGACGUGGUGCUAAUCCCGAAAGCCUCUCUCAGUUCGGAUUGGAGUCUGCAACCCGACUCCAUGAAGCUGGAUUCGCUAGUAAUCGCGCAUCAGCCACGGCGCGGUGAAUACGUUCCCGGGCCUUGCACUCACCGCCCGUCA